This 299-nucleotide ribosomal RNA is filed under the name uncultured bacterium. Its description in RNAcentral is "partial 16S ribosomal RNA". It matches the Rfam family "Bacterial small subunit ribosomal RNA", at positions 475 to 776 of the family's 1533-position model. The record is from RNAcentral.
CUAUGCGCCUUGCCAGCCCGCUCAGGUGUGCCAGCAGCCGCGGUAAUACAGAGGUCUCAAGCGUUGUUCGGAAUCACUGGGCGUAAAGCGUGCGUAGGCGGUUUCGUAAGUCGUGUGUGAAAGGCGGGGGCUCAACCCCCGGACUGCACAUGAUACUGCGAGACUAGAGUAAUGGAGGGAGAACCGGAAUCCUCGGUGUAGCAGUGAAAUGCGUAGAUAUCGAGAGGAACACUCGUGGCGAAGGCGGGUUCCUGGACAUUAACUGACGCUGAGGCACGAAGGCCAGGGGAGCGAAAGGG